This 64-nucleotide transfer RNA is filed under the name Rhaetus westwoodii. RNAcentral describes it as "tRNA-Gly". The record is from RNAcentral. Lineage: Eukaryota; Metazoa; Arthropoda; Insecta; Coleoptera; Lucanidae.
AUUUAUGUAAUAUAAUAAUAUUAUAUUUGACUUCCAAUCAAAAAAUCUAGAAAUAGCACUCAUA